UAGCACCUUUACUAUCAAAGGCAUUUUUUAAAAAUUCAUUUUUAAAGUUACCCAUUUUUUAAAAAUGCUUUCCCUUGAUAGUUAUUUUCAGAUGCAGUGAUGGGAGAUCCCUUUCUUGUGGUUGAGAUAGGCAUGCUGGUUCUAGAAUCUGCAGUGGGAGAAGGAAAGAAACGAAGCAAAGAUUCUCAAGCCUUUCUUCUGGAGACCUUCUCCAGACUUUUGGAACUCUUGACUCUCCGCUACCGACUGAUAGAAAUGAGUGUGGAAAGUGCACACUUAUCCUGGUUAUACAAAAUAUUUGCCCAAGAGAUGGGUUUUGAUGAAUUCCAUUUGUACUUGAGGCCAGUCUACUUUGAAUUUGCAUCUCAUAAGGAGAAGGCAGACCAACCACCUCCAAUUUUCAUUACAGCUCUACAGGAAGAUAAUAGUCGAGUAGAUAGAUAUGUUCCUUCUACUCUUCAAUUGGCUAUCUCUGAGGUGGAUGAUAAUCAUAUUGGAAAAUUUAGUUUUCAUAAAAAGGAAAGCAUUUUUCAGGUAAAAUUUGUUUUGUUUUGUUUUCCCACUCAAAGGAAGUCAAAAUAAACUGUCACAUGCAUAUUGUCCAUGAUCAGAAUCAUGUUAUUUUUGCCCCAGAAUUUUAAUUCCAUCUUAUACUCACAGCUCCCAUAAGUGCAGUUAGUAUAAUUAUUUACUGUUUUUUUUAUUUCUUGUAAUUUGGCAUAAUUUCUUCCAUAUAUACUCUUAAUAACUGUGGUAAGAAUUUCUGUUGGGCAAUAAAAAUAAGUUUUAUGUUUCCAAACACCUUUUCUUAUGUUGCCUUUUUUAAAAAUGCACUUAUAUUAGGAGACGUUUAACUUUUAACAUCAUACAACAGAAUGUAAACUUUUUGAGAGCAGGUUCUAAUUUUUAUUUUCAUCCUCUGCAUCCCCAACACCUCACACAGAGCCUGGUAUAUAUAGGCGCUUAAUAAGUUUGUUGAAUACAAGAAAUUUACUUGUGUUCAUUUCUCUCUGGCUCAUCAGGAAAGAUUUCUUGGCUUUUCUUUGGGGACAAUGGGAGGGGGAAGAAGAAAUUAAACAUUAACAUGAUCUGGGUUGCUUUAUUCUGCAUGGCAGCCUAUUUCUGGAUGUAAAUCUUUCACAGUUUGUCUAGUAUCCUCAAAGGAAGCUGAGUCAAAUUUGCAGCUUUUGGGAAAAAUUAAACCUGGGUGACUGCCAUGAACUGAAAUCAG
This 1231-nucleotide long non-coding RNA is filed under the name Sarcophilus harrisii (Tasmanian devil). RNAcentral's name for it is "lncRNA (ENSSHAG00000026206.1)". Lineage: Eukaryota; Metazoa; Chordata; Mammalia; Dasyuromorphia; Dasyuridae. The record is from RNAcentral.